Molecule: ribosomal RNA, 478 nt
Filed under: uncultured bacterium
Lineage: Bacteria
Description: partial 16S ribosomal RNA
Rfam family: Bacterial small subunit ribosomal RNA
Source: RNAcentral
GAUGAACGCUAGCGGCAGGCCUAACACAUGCAAGUCGAGGGAGAAGCCCUUUCGGGGGCAGAAACCGGCGCACGGGUUCGUAACGCGUAUGCAACCUACCUUUCACCGGGGGUUAGCUCGAAGAAAAUUGGAUUAAUACUCCAUUAUAUUAUUGUAUGGCAUCAUUUGAUAAUUAAAACUUCGUUGGUGAAUGAUGGGUAUGCGUCCCAUUAGCUAGUUGGAGUGGUAACGGCACCCCAAGGCUACGAUAGGUAGGGGUCCUGAGAGGGAGAUACCCUGCACUGGAACUGAGACAGAGACCAGACUGCGACGGGAGGGAGCAGAGAGGAAUACUAGGCAAUGGUCGGAAGACUGAACCAGCCGUGCAGCGUGCAGGAAGAAUGCGUUAUGGGAUGUAAACUGCUUUUAUAUGGGAAGAAUAAGGCGUACGUGUACGUUGAUGACGGUACCAUAUGAAUAAGCAUCGGCUAACUCCGUG